Long non-coding RNA from Symphalangus syndactylus (siamang), 487 nucleotides. RefSeq lists it as uncharacterized. NCBI's taxonomy places the organism in Eukaryota, Metazoa, Chordata, Mammalia, Primates, Hylobatidae. The record is from RefSeq and is a predicted model, not a curated record.
AGACAAGCCAGAAGGAAUCUCAGACCUCCUUUAAAAAUGUGGCCAUAGAUUUGCUUUCUAUGUGCUUUUCCAAACACUGAAGGAUAUGGGCCAUUGAGGCAGAAUGCUGUGAGCUGCUUCAGUGAGGGGGAAGAGAAAAGUCAUUAACAUGAAUCACAGCACCCCAAAUAGAGUUCUUCAUUCAGGAUCCAAGGUCAAGACAUGGAGGGCAUAAAAGAUGGAGAAGAGGGGUAUGCAAUGGAGUGUGGAGCAGGCAGCACGAAGAAGGGAAGCAAGGAAGUGCGUGUGGUCCUGUUCCUUCCCUCACUUUCUUACGGACCCAUCAGAAAAACCAACACAUCCCGGGAGAACACGGAGCGGCUGCUCGUGGGGUGAUCACACAGAUCCCUGUCCCAACACCCAGGAAGGCCGUGACGUGCAGAUCUCACCUAGGCCCAGAGAGGAUCUGGAGUGCGACACGUUCUGGGGAGAUGGAGUCAGACCGGAG